AUUGAACGCUGGCGGCAUGCCUUACACAUGCAAGUCGAACGGCAGCACGGGAGCAAUCCUGGUGGCGAGUGGCGAACGGGUGAGUAACAUAUCGGAACGUGCCCAGUCGUGGGGGAUAACGCAGCGAAAGCUGUGCUAAUACCGCAUACGAUCCAUGGAUGAAAGCGGGGGAUCGCAAGACCUCGCGCGAUUGGAGCGGCCGAUAUCAGAUUAGCUAGUUGGUGAGGUAAAGGCUCACCAAGGCGACGAUCUGUAGCUGGUCUGAGAGGACGACCAGCCACACUGGAACUGAGACACGGUCCAGACUCCUACGGGAGGCAGCAGUGGGGAAUUUUGGACAAUGGGCGCAAGCCUGAUCCAGCAAUGCCGCGUGCAGGAUGAAGGCCUUCGGGUUGUAAACUGCUUUUGUACGGAACGAAACGGUCUUUCCUAAUACGAGAGGCUAAUGACGGUACCGUAAGAAUAAGCACCGGCUAACUACGUGCCAGCCGCCGCGGUAA
Molecule: ribosomal RNA, 500 nt
Filed under: uncultured bacterium
Lineage: Bacteria
Description: partial 16S ribosomal RNA
Rfam family: Bacterial small subunit ribosomal RNA
Source: RNAcentral